UACCCGGGAAACCGGAGCUAAUACCGGAUAAUAUUCGAACCGCAUGGUUCGAUAGUGAAAGGUGGUUUUGCUAUCACUUAUAGAUGGACCCGCGCCGUAUUAGCUAGUUGGUAAGGUAACGGCUUACCAAGGCGACGAUACGUAGCCGACCUGAGAGGGUGAUCGGCCACACUGGAACUGAGACACGGUCCAGACUCCUACGGGAGGCAGCAGC
Molecule: ribosomal RNA, 214 nt
Filed under: uncultured Staphylococcus sp.
Lineage: Bacteria; Bacillati; Bacillota; Bacilli; Caryophanales; Staphylococcaceae
Description: partial 16S ribosomal RNA
Rfam family: Bacterial small subunit ribosomal RNA
Source: RNAcentral